AAUGAACGUUGGCGGCGUGGAUUAGGCAUGCAAGUCGAGCGAGAAAGAUCCGGUGCUUGCAUUGGAUCUGGAAAGCGGCGAAAGGGAGAGUAACGCGUAGGGUACCUACCCCAGGUCUGGGAUAGCGGCGGGAAACCGCCGGUAAUACUGGAUAAUGUCCCCGGACCAAAGGUGAGAUUCCGCCUGGGGAUGGUCCUGCGUCCUAUUAGCUUGUUGGUGAGGUAACGGCUCACCAAGGCAAAGAUGGGUAGCGGGCGUGAGAGCGUGGCCCGUCUCACUGGGGCUGAGACACUGCCCAGACACCUACGGGUGGCUGCAGUCGAGAAUCUUCCGCAAUGGACGCAAGUCUGACGGAGCGACGCCGCGUGCGGGAUGAAGGCCUUCGGGUUGUAAACCGCUGUCAGUGGGGUGGAAAUCCUAUGGGGCAAUCUCCAUAGGUUGACCUAACCGCAGAGGAAGUCCGGGCUAAGUACGUG
This 476-nucleotide ribosomal RNA is filed under the name uncultured bacterium. Its description in RNAcentral is "bacterial SSU rRNA". It matches the Rfam family "Bacterial small subunit ribosomal RNA", at positions 28 to 507 of the family's 1533-position model. The record is from RNAcentral.